AAGAAUAAGCACCGGCUAACUACGUGCCAGCAGCCGCGGUAAUACGUAGGGUGCAAGCGUUAAUCGGAAUUACUGGGCGUAAAGCGUGCGCAGGCGGUUUUGUAAGACAGUGGUGAAAUCCCCCGGGCUCAACCUGGGAACUGCCAUUGUGACUGCAAGGCUGGAGUGCGGCAGAGGGGGAUGGAAUUCCGCGUGUAGCAGUGAAAUGCGUAGAUAUGCGGAGGAACACCGAUGGCGAAGGCAAUCCCCUGGGCCUGCACUGACGCUCAUGCACGAAAGCGUGGGGAGCAAACAGGAUUAGAUACCCUGGUAGUCCACGCCCUAAACGAUGUCAACUGGUUGUUGGGAAUUUAUUUUCUCAGUAACGAAGCUAACGCGUGAAGUUGACCGCCUGGGGAGUACGGCCGCAAGGUUAAAAACUCAAAAGGAAUUGACGGGG
Molecule: ribosomal RNA, 439 nt
Filed under: uncultured bacterium
Lineage: Bacteria
Description: bacterial SSU rRNA
Rfam family: Bacterial small subunit ribosomal RNA
Source: RNAcentral